This 1016-nucleotide long non-coding RNA is filed under the name Salmo salar (Atlantic salmon). RNAcentral's name for it is "lncRNA (ENSSSAG00000107862.1)". The record is from RNAcentral. Lineage: Eukaryota; Metazoa; Chordata; Actinopteri; Salmoniformes; Salmonidae.
UCUCUGCAUAUUUCGCCACGGAGAGCGCAUCUGAGAAGCAACAAUUUUUCCUCUUUGUAAACAGUUUCACUGUGUAGUUGUUUGACAGAGUUUCAACAUACAGUACAAGACAAAUACUUUUGAAACAGUAUGCGAGAAUGACUGGAAUUUCGUUUGAAUCUUUUGAAAUACGCUUUUUUUUGCCGACUAUAUCAUUGAAACAAACUUAUUUUUUGAAGUUGUUCGGAGUUUCACACACUGGCAUUUCUUACUAACAUACCACCGUCUCCAGUCGCAAGAUAGUAGGCUACAGCUAAAUUCCACAAGGGGAGCCAAGUGCCACAUCGCUCAUGACUCAAAUAGGCUACACCACUCUGAAAAUAUUGCGGACCUGGAGAAGUGGCGGCUUGGCUUACUGCUAAAUGACAGACAAGGAACAGCAUAUGUGGGUUUGUACCUGCACUUGGAAAACCGGUAACAUCAGUUACUGUGUAAAAAUUCAGGGCACCUUCGUGCUUGCAGCGGUUAAGGAAAGAACACUGUGGCACAUGCAUGGUGAUGCCGGGUGGAGAUACGAGGAAUGAGUUAUUACAGAAAUCAAUUUCACUCAGGGAACAUCUGCCAGAGAUAAGUGAAACAUAAACAAUGUCAUUCAAAGAGAGAGGUUCAUGGUGAGACAUGAGAUGCUUUUGGUCACGUCAUUCUGACCAGUGGAGGCUGCUGAGGGGAGGACGGCUCAUUAUAACGGCUGGAACAGAGCAAAUGGAAUGGCAUCAAGCACAUGGAAACCGUGUCCCCAAUUAAGGUGGCUUAUGUUGACUGGAGGGUGCGAUAGUGACACUGCAUCACCAUUUGGGCUAGGCAGGUCAUACGGCUACACAUGUCACACAGUCCUGGAUAGCUGAACCACUGGAUCAGCGUCAUCCAACAGGUGAAGCCGCUCCCAGACAAGUCCCCAAGAAUCUGUAACAGGUCUCAGGCAUGAGAUCUCGCUACAGAUAAUAAAGUCAUGUUUUACACAGGGAGAAAGAAGUCAC